This 352-nucleotide transfer-messenger RNA is filed under the name marine eukaryotic metagenome. It matches the Rfam family "transfer-messenger RNA". Rfam says of the family: Bacterial tmRNA, also known as 10Sa RNA or SsrA, is named for its dual tRNA and mRNA-like properties. The record is from RNAcentral.
GGGGCCGAUUGGUUUCGACCGGGCAGGGAAGGCCUGUCGUUGCAUGUCGUGGAGCAUCCGGGCCACGUAAAAAGGAUGCAAACCUUUAACUGCCAACACGCAGUACGCACUCGCGGCCUGAUUUAGGCCCCGACGGGUCGCGCUCGACGCCCGAUAGGGCGCGCCCCGCUGACAUCGGGCUGGUUCCAAGGCGCUGACAUUCCUCCUUGGAAUGAGACAACUGUCUGUCAUGGCUUCUUCGCAUGGUGGGUCACCGAGCGGUGAUGAGGCCGAGAUUCAACUGGUGACUAUGCAUGUAGACGCGGCUUGCUGACUGUUUCGGCACGGGGGUUCGAAUCCCCCCGGCUCCACU